Molecule: ribosomal RNA, 253 nt
Filed under: uncultured bacterium
Lineage: Bacteria
Description: partial 16S ribosomal RNA
Rfam family: Bacterial small subunit ribosomal RNA
Source: RNAcentral
UACGAAGGGGGCGAGCGUUGUUCGGAUUUACUGGGCGUAAAGGGCGCGCAGGCGGCGCAUUUUGUCAGGCGUGAAAGCCCCGGGCUUAACCUGGGAACUGCGUUUGAUACGGAUGGGCUAGAGUUCGGGAGAGGAGAGUGGAAUUCAUGGUGUAGCAGUGAAAUGCGUAGAGAUCAUGAGGAAGACCAGUGGCGAAGGCGGGUCUCUGGACAGUUCCUGACACUGAGGCACGAAGGCCAGGGGAGCAAACGGG